GAUGAACGCUGGCGGCGUGCCUAAUACAUGCAAGUCGAGCGAACAGACGCGGAGCUUGCUCCUCUGACGUUAGCGGCGGACGGGUGAGUAACACGUGGAUAACCUACCUAUAAGACUGGGAUAACUUCGGGAAACCGGAGCUAAUCCCGGAUAAUAUCUUGCACCGCAUGGUUCAAUAGUGAAAGACGGUUUUGCUGUCACUUAUAGAUGGAUCCGCGCUGCAUUAGCUAGUUGGUAAGGUAAAGGCUUAUCAAGGCAACGAUGCGUAGCCGACCUGAGAGGGUGAUCGGCGACACGGGAACGGAAACACGGUCCAUACUCCUACGGGAGGCAGCAGUAGGGAAUCUGCGGCAAUGGUCGAAAGCCUUGCGGAGCAGCGCCGCGUGAGUGAUGAAGGUCUUCGGAUCGUAAAACUCUGUUAUGAGGGAAGAACAAAUGUGUAAGGAACUAUGCACGUCUUGACGGUACCUAAUCAGAAAGCCACGGCUAACUACGUG
Molecule: ribosomal RNA, 497 nt
Filed under: uncultured bacterium
Lineage: Bacteria
Description: partial 16S ribosomal RNA
Rfam family: Bacterial small subunit ribosomal RNA
Source: RNAcentral